This 78-nucleotide transfer RNA is filed under the name Nitrososphaerota archaeon. Its description in RNAcentral is "tRNA-Gln". It matches the Rfam family "tRNA". From Rfam's summary of the family: Transfer RNA (tRNA) molecules are approximately 80 nucleotides in length. Lineage: Archaea; Thermoproteati; Nitrososphaerota. The record is from RNAcentral.
AGCCCCCUAGUAUAGCCUGGUCAAGUAUGCGGGCCUCUGGAGCCUGAGACACCAGUUCGAAUCUGGUGGGGGCUACCA